GUGCCAGCAGCCGCGGUAAUACGGAGGGCGCAAGCGUUACUCGGAAUCACUGGGCGUAAAGAGCGUGUAGGCGGGUGAAUAAGUUUGAAGUGAAAUCCUAUAGCUCAACUAUAGAACUGCUUUGAAAACUGUUCACCUAGAAUAUGGGAGAGGUAGAUGGAAUUUCUGGUGUAGGGGUAAAAUCCGUAGAGAUCAGAAGGAAUACCGAUUGCGAAGGCGAUCUACUGGAACAUUAUUGACGCUGAGACGCGAAAGCGUGGGGAGCAAACAGGAUUAGAUACCCUGGUAGUCCACGCCCUAAACGAUGUACACUAGUUGUUGUGAGGCUAGACCUUGCAGUAAUGCAGUAAACACAUUAAGUGUACCGCCUGGGGAGUACGGUCGCAAGAUUAAAACUCAAAGGAAUUGACGGGGA
RNAcentral lists this ribosomal RNA (415 nucleotides) under uncultured bacterium. RNAcentral's name for it is "bacterial SSU rRNA". It matches the Rfam family "Bacterial small subunit ribosomal RNA", at positions 505 to 919 of the family's 1533-position model. The record is from RNAcentral.